This 253-nucleotide ribosomal RNA is filed under the name uncultured bacterium. RNAcentral describes it as "partial 16S ribosomal RNA". It matches the Rfam family "Bacterial small subunit ribosomal RNA", at positions 524 to 776 of the family's 1533-position model. The record is from RNAcentral.
GACGGAGGAUGCAAGCGUUAUCCGGAAUUAUUGGGCGUAAAGCGUACGCAGGUGGCACAUCAAGUCUGUUGUUAAAGCGCGGAGCUCAACUCCGUAAAGGCGAUAGAAACUGGUGAGCUAGAGUAUGGUAGGGGCAGGAGGAAUUCCCAGUGUAGCGGUGAAAUGCGUAGAUAUUGGGAAGAACACCAGCGGCGAAAGCGUCCUGCCAAGCCAAAACUGACACUCAUGUACGAAAGCUAGGGGAGCGAAUGGG